RNAcentral lists this ribosomal RNA (484 nucleotides) under uncultured bacterium. RNAcentral's name for it is "partial 16S ribosomal RNA". It matches the Rfam family "Bacterial small subunit ribosomal RNA", at positions 28 to 523 of the family's 1533-position model. The record is from RNAcentral.
GACGAACGCUGGCGGCGUGCUUAACACAUGCAAGUCGAACGAUGAAGCCGGAGCUUGCUCUGGUGAAUUAGUGGCGAACGGGUGAGUAGCACGUGAGUAACCUGCCCUUGACUCUGGGAUAACUGCUAGAAAUGGUAGCUAAUACCGGAUACGACCCUCGGAGGCAUCUUCAGGGGGUGGAAAGAAUUUCGGUCAAGGAUGGACUCGCGGCCUAUCAGCUAGUUGGUGAGGUAAUGGCUCACCAAGGCGACGACGGGUAGCCGGCCUGAGAGGGUGACCGGCCACACUGGGACUGAGACACGGCCCAGACUCCUACGGGAGGCAGCAGUGGGGAAUAUUGCACAAUGGGCGCAAGCCUGAUGCAGCAACGCCGCGUGAGGGAUGACGGCCUUCGGGUUGUAAACCUCUUUUAGUAGGGAAGAAGCGAAAGUGACGGUACCUGCAGAAAAAGCACCGGCUAACUACAUGCCAGCCGCCGCCGUAA